This 453-nucleotide ribosomal RNA is filed under the name uncultured bacterium. Its description in RNAcentral is "bacterial SSU rRNA". It matches the Rfam family "Bacterial small subunit ribosomal RNA", at positions 340 to 786 of the family's 1533-position model. The record is from RNAcentral.
UACGGAAGGCAGCAGUGGGGAAUAUUGCACAAUGGGCGCAAGCCUGAUGCAGCCAUGCCGCGUGUAUGAAGAAGGCCUUCGGGUUGUAAAGUACUUUCAGUCGUGAGGAAGGUGUUAAGGUUAAUAACCUUAGCAAUUGACGUUAGCGACAGAAGAAGCACCGGCUAACUCCGUGCCAGCAGCCGCGGUAAUACGGAGGGUGCGAGCGUUAAUCGGAAUUACUGGGCGUAAAGGGCACGCAGACGGUUAAUUAAGUUGGAUGUGAAAUCCCCGGGCUUAACCUGGGAAUGGCAUUCAAGACUGGUUAGCUAGAGUCUUGUAGAGGGGGUAGAAUUCCAUGUGUAGCGGUGAAAUGCGUAGAGAUGUGGAGGAAUACCGGUGGCGAAGGCGGCCCCUGGGACAAAGACUGACGCUCAUGUGCGAAAGCGUGGGGAGCAAACAGGAUUAGAUACC